CCCCCCACUUUCGAGUUUGAAUUUCAAGCGAAGGAAGUACACAGAGAGAAAGAUGGGUACAGCCAGAACCGUCUCUUCGAAUCCUACGCACUGCCGCCUCCAGAUAUUUUGGCAUUAAAUGAGCGCGUGCCGGAGUCUUUUCGAAUUGGAGCGGUAUGAGGGGACGCUUCGAAAAUCUCGUAGGUACACUGGCCUAGGUACGGCGCAAUUAUGGUUCUGCCAACCGUCAGCCGCCUUUAGCCGUCUGCCACGGGGAGUGGGACACGCGUCGGAUGCGGACUGGCCUGGGGGGAUUCGCGAUCAUUAUGGCGCCGGAUCCCAGGGUCUAUUUAAACCCGUCCUCCCCCCUUCAGGUGUCCUACUCCAUUUCUGAUUUUUCGCUGGCGUCUGUCUUCUCUUCGAGAGCCUUGCUCUAGCGAUCGUCUUCUCGAGCCGUAGGCGCCUCCCGUUUCUCGUCCCCCAGGUCCCUCAGAGCAACAUAGGUUAGUGCCAAUCCUCUUCUCUCCGCCUAGGGGCUUCUCCUCCCUUCAUUACUUUUGUACCUCCCUCCGAGUUGGCCUUCAGCGUCUCGUUCUCCUUUCGGUCUGCCUUUUUAGGAUCCUUUAGGUUCUCCCUCCGAAACUGCUCAAAAUAUCUUCCGACUCUUCCGCUCCCGUUAGUUCUGAGAGUUCUUCUGCUUCGAACCCCCAGGUCCCUGUCUCUGCGGACGAACCCGUGUCCGGGGCAGGGCCUCGCCCGAUUUUUGCACCGGGCGCCAUUCCA
RNAcentral lists this long non-coding RNA (762 nucleotides) under Elaeis guineensis (African oil palm). RNAcentral describes it as "long non-coding RNA (EGUI_LNC020068)". The record is from RNAcentral. Lineage: Eukaryota; Viridiplantae; Streptophyta; Magnoliopsida; Arecales; Arecaceae.